AAGGCCUUAAGUUAAGCAUUCAAACUAAUAACCUUCAAAGCUAUAAAUAAAGGGUCUUCCUUUAGGCCUUG
RNAcentral lists this transfer RNA (71 nucleotides) under Microcerotermes sp. B TB-2017. RNAcentral's name for it is "tRNA-Trp". The record is from RNAcentral. Lineage: Eukaryota; Metazoa; Arthropoda; Insecta; Blattodea; Termitidae.